This 77-nucleotide transfer RNA is filed under the name Desulfovibrio sp. RNAcentral describes it as "tRNA-Arg". It matches the Rfam family "tRNA". From Rfam's summary of the family: Transfer RNA (tRNA) molecules are approximately 80 nucleotides in length. Their secondary structure includes four short double-helical elements and three loops (D, anti-codon, and T loops). Lineage: Bacteria; Pseudomonadati; Thermodesulfobacteriota; Desulfovibrionia; Desulfovibrionales; Desulfovibrionaceae. RNAcentral also lists the same sequence under 1 other name. The record is from RNAcentral.
GGGCAAUUAGCUCAGUUGGAUAGAGCGUCGGCCUCCGGAGCCGAAGGCCGGGCGUUCGAGCCGCCCAUUGCCCACCA